UCGGUGUCUUCCUCCAUUGACUUCGAAGAGGGCCACAAACUGUUUAGUACUCUGCAUCAUCCGUCAUUCCAGUAAAAUUUCUACUAUUUUUUAUAUCUCUAAAAGUCGUCAUCCUCAAUUUCAUUACUUGGCUGCAAAGUAUUUGGGAUUUUCCAAAACUACAUUCCUACAGUCAUCAUGGACCUGAAUGAUCUUAACAAGGUCUGGGAAGUCAAACCACUAAAGAAGGUACGGGAAGAUGAGGCAAAGGAAAUUCUUGAAAAAAUAGCAAAGCAAGUGCAACCAAUUAUGAGGAAAAGAAAGUGGAGAGUGAAGAUCCUUUCUGAAUUUUGUCCGCCCAAUCCAUCUCUUUUGGGGCUGAACAUUGGAGGAGGUGCUGAGAUUAAGCUUAGACUCCGGAGGCCAAACAAUGAGUGGGAUUUCUUCCCUUAUGAGCAGAUUCUUGAUACCAUGCUUCAUGAACUUUGCCAUAUCGAACACGGUCCUCAUAAUGCUGAUUUCUACAACCUUUUGGAUGAAAUUAGGAAGGAAUGUGAAGAACUUAUUGCCAAAGGCAUCGCUGGCACCGGGCAAGGAUUUGAUCUUCCUGGGAGACGAUUGGGUGGACUUUCCCGUCAACCUCCUUUGCAUGUAUUGCGUCAGAAAGCACUGGCUGCUGCGGAAAACAGAGCAAAACUUGAAGCAUUAUUGACCCAUGGGCCUAAGCGUCUUGGUGGUGAUAGCAGCAUUAGAGCUGUACUCAGUCCAGUUCAAGCAGCUGCUAUGGCUGCUGAAAGAAGAUUACAUGAUGAUGUAUGGUGUGGAUCUAAAUCAGCAGAGAGUGGUGGACCAUCUGGAGACUCCAAAGUGUCAGCUGUACAAGAUGAUAGAUUUGUCCAAACUUCAGCCAUUGGAUCUGUAUCACAGGGAAAGAAAGAUGGCGAACUAAUGUGGCAGUGCUCCUCAUGUACCUUACUAAAUCAGGUGGAGAACCUGCAUAAUUUUUCCAAGAAAUGGAGAUAUUCCAAUCUCCCAAGGGCAGAUUACUAAGAUUGAAAGUUUGAUGAAAAAGUACAAUUUCUAGAUCCUCAUGGGCAGUCAACAGGCAAUUGUAGUGAUCAGAAAGGGAAGUCACCUAUGCAGAGUGAAGAUAAUGGUUAAAUAGGCUUGCCAGCCAUUUUUGGAGACAGAAUUCACCUACCUAAUGGUAUCUACUCCAGUGAUUCACUAAAGGGCCAUGCGUUAAGGGUUGAAGAUGAAAACAUGUCUCGACAGUGAAUCUGAUUCUGGGGAAUCAAUAAUAUGCUACGGAACUAUUGAAAAAUCUGAAGACACUGAUGAGGGUUGUCUUGCCGAAGAUAUAGAAAGCUCUUAUUCAAGUGAGCAUUUGUGAGGAAAUAAUUCAUGUGGUGCCCCAUGGGACGCUUCCCAUCGGCAAUAGUCACUAGCUCUUACAUGUGAAGCUCGUGGAACCCCAAAGAAUAGAGGCAACGGAGACAAGAAGUUAAAGGUCUGGUCUUGCAAGUUUUGUACCCUGGAUAAUAGCAUUGAGGUUGAGAGAU
Molecule: RNA transcript, 1541 nt
Organism: Olea europaea var. sylvestris
Lineage: Eukaryota; Viridiplantae; Streptophyta; Magnoliopsida; Lamiales; Oleaceae
Gene name: DNA-dependent metalloprotease WSS1-like
Exons: 7
Source: RefSeq, a predicted model, not a curated record